UACAGAGGGGGCAAGCGUUAUUCGGAAUUAUUGGGCGUAAAGGGCGCGUAGGCGGCCUGGCAAGUGGAAGGUGAAAUCCCUCGGCUUAACCGAGGAACUGCCCUCCAAACUGCUUGGCUUGAGUCCGGGAGAGGUGAGUGGAAUUCCCAGUGUAGCGGUGAAAUUCGUAGAUAUUCGCAAGAACACCAGUGGCGAAGGCGGCUCACUGGCCCGAUACUGACGCUGAGGCACGAAAGCGUGGGGAGCAAACAGG
This 253-nucleotide ribosomal RNA is filed under the name uncultured bacterium. Its description in RNAcentral is "partial 16S ribosomal RNA". It matches the Rfam family "Bacterial small subunit ribosomal RNA", at positions 524 to 776 of the family's 1533-position model. The record is from RNAcentral.